CCUACGGGAGGCAGCAGUAGGGAAUCUUCCACAAUGGACGAAAGUCUGAUGGAGCAACGCCGCGUGAGCGAUGAAGGCCUUCGGGUCGUAAAGCUCUGUUGUUAGGGAAGAACAAGUACAAGAGUAACUGCUUGUACCUUGACGGUACCUAACCAGAAAGCCACGGCUAACUACGUGCCAGCAGCCGCGGUAAUACGUAGGUGGCAAGCGUUAUCCGGAAUUAUUGGGCGUAAAGCGCGCGCAGGCGGUUUCUUAAGUCUGAUGUGAAAGCCCCCGGCUCAACCGGGGAGGGUCAUUGGAAACUGGGGAACUUGAGUGCAGAAGAGGAGAGCGGAAUUCCACGUGUAGCGGUGAAAUGCGUAGAGAUUUGGAGGAACACCAGUGGCGAAGGCGACUUUCUGGUCUGUAACUGACGCUGAGGCGCGAAAGCGUGGGGAGCAAACAGGAUUAGAUACCCUGGUAGUCCACGCUGUAAACGAUGAGUGCUAAGUGUUAGAGGGUUUCCGCCCUUUAGUGCUGCAGCUAACGCAUUAAGCACUCCGCCUGGGGAGUACGGCCGCAAGGCUGAAACUCAAAGGAAUUGACGG
RNAcentral lists this ribosomal RNA (587 nucleotides) under uncultured bacterium. Its description in RNAcentral is "bacterial SSU rRNA". It matches the Rfam family "Bacterial small subunit ribosomal RNA", at positions 338 to 916 of the family's 1533-position model. The record is from RNAcentral.